Callorhinus ursinus (northern fur seal) is the source of this 437-nucleotide non-coding RNA. The record is from RefSeq and is a predicted model, not a curated record. NCBI's taxonomy places the organism in Eukaryota, Metazoa, Chordata, Mammalia, Carnivora, Otariidae.
ACUCACUGCUGCAGGAUGGGGAAUUUACCAUGGAUCUUCUACCAAGAGCACUGGGGGAGCCCCCACUUUCAACAUCACUGUCACCAUGACUGCCAAGACGCUAGUCCUGCUGAUGGGCAAAGAAGGUGUCCACAAGUGGUAUGAUCAACAAGAAAUGCUAUGAAAUGGCCUCCCACCUGCGGCUUUCCCAGUACUGACCUCAUCCGUCCCUUCCCCCCACCAUUCCCCAUGGCUUUUGCACCCCUCUCCUUCCCAGAUACACACAUACACCAUUUUUAUUUUUUGGGCCAUUACCCCACACCCCUUAUUGCUGCCAAAACUACAUGGGCUGGGGGCUGGGGCUGGAUGGACAGACACCUCCCCCUACCCAAACCCCUCCUGUGUGUGGUUGGAAAACUUUUUUUGGAGAACGGGAGACCAGCGCUAGGGGAAUACUG